RNAcentral lists this ribosomal RNA (116 nucleotides) under Sinocyclocheilus anshuiensis. Lineage: Eukaryota; Metazoa; Chordata; Actinopteri; Cypriniformes; Cyprinidae. The record is from RNAcentral.
ACCAGCAGCCAUAUCACCCUGCAGCCCAAGACUGGUUGCUCACUGAAGCCAAGCAGGGUUGAGCUGGUCAGUACCUGGAUGGGAGACCUCCUGGGAAAACUAGGUUGCUGUUGGAA